Molecule: ribosomal RNA, 164 nt
Filed under: uncultured bacterium
Lineage: Bacteria
Description: partial 16S ribosomal RNA
Rfam family: Bacterial small subunit ribosomal RNA
Source: RNAcentral
UAGGGAAUCUUCCACAAUGGACGCAAGUCUGAUGGAGCAACGCCGCGUGAGUGAAGAAGGGUUUCGGCUCGUAAAACUCUGUUGUUAAAGAAGAACAUAUCUGAGAGUAACUGUUCAGGUAUUGACGGUAUUUAACCAGAAAGCCACGGCUAACUACGUGCCAG